AAGUCGUAACAAGGUUUCCGUAGGUGAACCUGCGGAAGGAUCAUUACCGAGAGGGGGAUUUGCGUCCCCCGGGGAUCGCUUCGGCGCCCAACUCUUCAACCCUGUGUCUACCAACCUUUGUUGCUUUGGCGAGCGCCGGGGCGCAAGCUUCGGCCCUGACCUCGGUCAGCGAGCCCUCGCCGGAGGCCCAUUACAAUUCUGUUUCAGUGGAGUCCGAGCAUACAAACGAAUCAAUCAAA
Molecule: unclassified non-coding RNA, 239 nt
Filed under: plant metagenome
Description: partial contains small subunit ribosomal RNA and internal transcribed spacer 1
Rfam family: Eukaryotic small subunit ribosomal RNA (bases 1-46)
Source: RNAcentral